RNAcentral lists this ribosomal RNA (253 nucleotides) under uncultured bacterium. RNAcentral's name for it is "partial 16S ribosomal RNA". It matches the Rfam family "Bacterial small subunit ribosomal RNA", at positions 524 to 776 of the family's 1533-position model. The record is from RNAcentral.
UACGUAGGGUGCAAGCGUUGUCCGGAAUUAUUGGGCGUAAAGAGCUCGUAGGCGGUCUGUCGCGUCGGCUGUGAAAACUUGGGGCUCAACCCCGGGCCUGCAUUCGAUACGGGCAGACUAGAGUUCGGUAGGGGAGUCUGGAAUUCCUGGUGUAGCGGUGAAAUGCGCAGAUAUCAGGAGGAACACCGGUGGCGAAGGCGGGACUCUGGGCCGAUACUGACGCUGAGGAGCGAAAGCAUGGGGAGCGAACAGG